This is a small nucleolar RNA of Lolium rigidum, 106 nucleotides long. The record is from RefSeq and is a predicted model, not a curated record. NCBI's taxonomy places the organism in Eukaryota, Viridiplantae, Streptophyta, Magnoliopsida, Poales, Poaceae.
AAGCCAUGACGGGGACACAACCUAGUCAUAUUUUGAAUCUCCGCAAAGCCUCAUACAAGCUUUCACCUACAUACUGCAUGAACCUAGUAAUUUUGUAUUUGAUGCU